AUGUGGACCAAUGGAAGCAGUUGGAUGCAAUACUGGUUCUUUGAAGAUGUCACUUUCGACAAUGACAUGCAAUUCGUGCUUUUUGUUGGGGUGAACAACCGUUUUCAGAGCAUUAUUUUGGCUGGUGUAUUGAUGAGGCACGAGCAGCUGAAGAGUUUCGACCGGGGAGUUUCUAAGGAUGAUAGGAGGAACCGACCCGAAAACUAUCGUCACAGGUUUGGCAGUGUAUUUAAUUUGCAGUUCACAAUCAGAAUAUUUGAACAUGCUCACUCAUGUUAUCUCACUGUGUGCAGACCAGAACAAAAUGUUUGCUGUCUUUUUAAUUUUUAUUAA
RNAcentral lists this ribosomal RNA (333 nucleotides) under Triticum aestivum (bread wheat). RNAcentral describes it as "partial small subunit ribosomal RNA". Lineage: Eukaryota; Viridiplantae; Streptophyta; Magnoliopsida; Poales; Poaceae. The record is from RNAcentral.